This 225-nucleotide long non-coding RNA is filed under the name Elaeis guineensis (African oil palm). Its description in RNAcentral is "long non-coding RNA (EGUI_LNC055771)". Lineage: Eukaryota; Viridiplantae; Streptophyta; Magnoliopsida; Arecales; Arecaceae. The record is from RNAcentral.
GUGUGACGUCUUUCUGAACUCCCUCGACCAUCUGGACUUCUCCGACAAUGAGCUUCCCCAUUCAUCUACCGGGCCGCUCCAAAGGCUCUCUGGGCUUCACUAUCAGCCAACCUUCUACAGUGAUCAACUAUUUUAUGAAUCCCUUCCAGACUCCUUUCGACCGCGGAUGACCCUAUUCCGAACUUCGUCAAUAUCCGAGCUUCUUCGAUGAUAAGAUUUCUACAG